Molecule: ribosomal RNA, 497 nt
Filed under: uncultured bacterium
Lineage: Bacteria
Description: partial 16S ribosomal RNA
Rfam family: Bacterial small subunit ribosomal RNA
Source: RNAcentral
GAUGAACGCUGGCGGCGUGCCUAAUACAUGCAAGUCGAGCGAACGGACGAGAAGCUUGCUUCUCUGAUGUUAGCGGCGGACGGGUGAGUAACGCGUGGAUAACCUACCUAUAAGACUGGGAUAACUUCGGGAAACCGGAGCUAAUACCGGAUAAUAUUUUGAACCGCAUGGUUCAAAAGUGAAAGACGGUCUUGCUGUCACUUAUAGAUGGAUCCGCGCUGCAUUAGCUAGUUGGUAAGGUAACGGCUUACCAAGGCAACGAUGCAUAGCCGACCUGAGAGGGUGAUCGGCCACACUGGAACUGAGACACGGUCCAGACUCCUACGGGAGGCAGCAGUAGGGAAUCUUCCGCAAUGGGCGAAAGCCUGACGGAGCAACGCCGCGUGAGUGAUGAAGGUCUUCGGAUCGUAAAACUCUGUUAUUGGGGAAGAACAUAUGUGUAAGUAACUGUGCACAUCUUGACGGUACCUAAUCAGAAAGCCACGGCUAACUACGUG